CUCCCAGGGAUAAUAUUCUCAGUCAAGUCCCUCACAGCGCGCGUAUUUUACACAUACGCACCUCCACGUCCGAUCUCACGCGAUUCGGCACAUAAAAUAUAGGGUCUCUUCGCGAUUUAUCCGUUUUGCCAAUUUGACCCCUCAGCGGACUUUUCGCGAUUCCCGUAGAUCCGUCCGUCAGAUUUGCGAACGGAUCGCUCUAGUGCGAUCAGCACAACGGAGACAAUAAACCUACUAUUUUGAUUCACAUCGAUCUAUCACGGAUUCGCGACGGAACCCGUCCGCUCUCCAAUUUCCUAAAAACCACACACACAUAUACCAUUGUGUAAUCCCACUAAAUCCUAGAUUCAAAUUCAAAUUUGAAUCUCCUACCACUA
This 377-nucleotide long non-coding RNA is filed under the name Ananas comosus (pineapple). Its description in RNAcentral is "long non-coding RNA (ACOM_LNC036971)". Lineage: Eukaryota; Viridiplantae; Streptophyta; Magnoliopsida; Poales; Bromeliaceae. The record is from RNAcentral.